Pteropus vampyrus (large flying fox) is the source of this 110-nucleotide small nucleolar RNA. The record is from Ensembl. Lineage: Eukaryota; Metazoa; Chordata; Mammalia; Chiroptera; Pteropodidae.
UUUUUCUCUGUUGGCUGGUGCAAUUCAGUGGUGAGCUGAUAGUAAACUCCAGCUUAGGAAACAGGGUUGUUCUUCACAUGGAUGACUGUGCCGAGAGCAUGGGAAUAUCU